UGCCAGGACAGAGGGGAAAUGGGCCGGGAGAAGGCGCGCAGCCCCCCGCGCCGCCCUUCUGGGGGCAAACAGAACAGGGCGCUGCUGAGACCCCCGGGGGGGCGAGGGCGACGCCCGGCUCUGCCCGGGGUGCCCGACGCUGCGGCACUCCACCGGGCAGAGGCUUUAAGGGGUUAAAGCUUCCGAGUGUCCCCAAAUCACCUGACUGAGCCAUUAUGCAAGUCACCUCGGACUUUUUCCUCUGUGACUCAUGCCUUUAGGAAGGGGGAAAGGAAGCCCCGCGCAGGCCCCCAAGGAUCUCGGGGGGCCCGGCGGGCCGCUGUCUGGGACAAAGGUCACCUCGAGGCCGGCCCGGCUCUGAGUCUCCCGAGAGGUGCCGGCUCGGAACCCCAGACCCAAAGGGAGGGGGUGGCCAGGCCGGCCCAACAGCAGACGAGUUUUCUGGGAAAAGCGGCGAGCCACGCCGGGCAGAGGGGGCACCCACAGGCACGACCAGAGCCAGCUGUCCAGUGUAGCCCCUCCUCUGACCCCCUCAUUGUACAGCGGAGGAAACUGAGGCCCAGGGGCACCCCAAACGCACCGGAAAACGAGGCUGCAGAGAUGUCAGCAGAACUGUUGAUCAGAGCACCCACCUUCCUUUUAUUUCAAGCCUCCCAGGCCGGGCAGGGGCGGGUAAGGGACUGGCCCAGGGUCACCCAGCCCGGAAGGGUCUGCUACUACAUCCCCUCACUUGACACGUAGGGAAAGCGAGGCCCAGGUGACCCUGCAGAGGGGUCUGAGCCCCGCCAGCCCUUCAUCCAAUCAGACUCGGGGUCCCUCCUCCUCUACGGCCAGCCCUGCCUCCAGCCUUCCCCGGCACCCCCCAAGAAGCGGGCGCCUCAGCACCCCCACAUCCUCCCAUUCCGGGUCACGCAGGCUUCUCGGCCCGCUCCCCAGGCUCCGGCUGCCUCGGCUGCCGGUAGCCAUUCCGGCCUGGGCUCCUCCUGGGCCUCCAGCCCUGUCCCUUCCCCUGGAUCAGAGCGGACUCACAAUGGUUCCAGAGUGGAGGGGCCGGAAGGGCUAGCCCAGCUGGCAAGUCUGAGGCAGGAUUGGAACCCAGGGCUCCGCGUUAGCUCUGAGAGCGCAGGAUUGGGAUUUUUAAAUGCUUCCCAUCUGUCUUAGCGUCUUCCCAGGGAGGAGCAGGAAGGGCUGGGCCUUGGGGUGAGUGACUUGCCCAGGGUCACUCGGCUAUCCCAGGGCAGCGAGGCCCCGACAUCUCGAGGGCCCCCAGCCCCAACAGAACGCAUUGGCCCCCCCUCCUGUGGGGGCUCUGCCCACACUUCGGGGAGCCCCGCCCCCUCUCCAGGGACACCCGGGCGGCCGGCGGGGGUCUGGGCCUCCAGGCUGCCCAGGGAUGCAGGGAGAGCCCACGACUUCCUGCUCAGCCCCCGCCCCGGCAAAGGUUCUGGGUCCACUGUGGCCACCGGCACUGCCUGGCUGGGUGAUCCUGGACGAGUCACUUCACCCCCAAAGCCUAGCUUCCCAGGUCGGACUCUACAGCCGAGGGGAAGGGGUUAAAGGAGAAGAAAGACAAGGGGAGGGCGGAGGAGGGCCCAGGCCUACGAUCGAAGCCCUCCACAAGUCCCUUCCCCCGCCUGCCUCAGCUUCUGGCUCUGGAGAAUGGGGAUCCCAAUCCUGGCGCCUCCCUGGAUGGCGGGAGUUCAUCCUGGGAGCUCUGGGGCGCCCGGCGCGGGGUCCCCGGUUGGCAACACCUCCCUUCUCUCGGCCGCCCCCCUCACUCCCGCGCAGCCUCCCAGCUGGAAGCAACGACCUCGGGGAAGAGGGCAAGGGCCCCUUCGCCCCCCCCAACGGCUGGAGGGAGGUCACGUGAGCGAUAGGAGGCGGCACUUCCCCCUCCCCGCCUCCCACCCCGCCCCCCAACCCCGGCUUACCGAGGCAUAGUGGAGGUGGGGCGGCACCCAGGGGAGCGGGGAGGAAGGGGGCGGGGAGAGGGCGGGGAGCGGGAGGAGGCCGCCCCGGGCGAGGCCGCCCGGCCACCGCCUUCGACGCCCACAAUGGUUGCCAUGGCGACCGCGCCCGAGCCCCGCCCCUGGUACCUGGGCUCCUGGAAGGCAGGCUCUCCCUCUCCAAUCUUCCGUAGCUCCCCGGUGCCCCAGGGCAAGGCGAAUCCUUCCCUAUCUGCGCCCCCUUGUUCUCCCGGCCGUGACCCCGGCAUUGCCCAGACUCCCGGAGCCGAGCCAGGGCUAAGUAUGAAAUCCAAUCCAACCCAAUGUAAUCAGCACCCAUCUACGGAAAGGAAAGGCAGCUCCUGCCCGCAGGAAGCUCAGUCUAGAGAUCAGCCAACAGCCCCUAUGGCAGCACAAGCCAGACACCCCACACCCAUGGAUUUAUGCAGCCCCCCAAGAAAAAGCUAAAAGUCUGUUUGUAAAAAUUAUUAAAAAAAAGAACAAAACCUUCGUAUAAAAAUGUAAAACUGACUUUACAGGCUAUGCAUUUUACACCCUCAGUGCGGAUGUCCCAACGGUAAGGAGCAUAGAAGGAUGGAAUGUUUUCCAUGAGAACCCCUUGGCCAAACUCCUAGCCCCUGAUCCUAAAGACCGCCAGCUUCCUGCCAGGUUCCCAGAAUGCUCCCGCACCGGAUGUCUGUUCCUUUGGAGAGGAAGUCCUGUUUGUAUUCUCAGGAUGGCCCAAGAACUUGCGGAUUGUUAUGACAAAGGAAGAAGGGGCCAAGAGAAAAAUAAGGCCCCAACAUCGCCUCCUCCUGGGCCAUCGCUGUUGGCAUUUUGAAAUGUUCCUGAGCAAACACCUCGCAUUUUGGAAUCUCAGUUAAAAGAACAAAAAAUCAGAACAUCCCACCUUCCCCCAAAAGCGUGAAUCAUCCUGGCGGAUCUUUCUGAAUGUUCCCCAUGGCAGGGGGCUCUAAAAGCAUCUCCUCCCCUCAAUUCCCUGAGCUAAAGUCGAGCCCCCUUCCUCCCUUCAGCCUCCAGAGGCCAUCUCCCUCCUGCAGACCCCUCAGGAGCCCCAAAGGAGUCCAGGGGGCUCUGGAUCAUCAGCUUUUCCUCGCUGACCAGCAAAUCAAAUGACCACGAGCCAUUCAUCCUGUGAUGACCCAAACCGACAAGGUGGACAAGCGGGGCUAGCCAAUGCAAACCAGCCUUUCAGCUGCCUCCAAUAAAGGUGCAUCCUUUCCCCAUUAAUCAUCUUGAGAAAGUCUUAGACCAACAGUUGGGUCCUGAGCAGAUGCUCUGGCUCAGGGCCACCUUCCAUCUUUCGGGAUACUUCUCAGGCCCAAGCGGGGACCCCAUCCUUGUUUUCUCAAUUAGACUUUGGUGAUUAGACAAAUUCCCCACCCCAGGGCCCCCAACCAAAAAGAGCUUUUCAAAGCCAAGAGACAGACCCUUCUGUCCAGUCCAGCUCCAAGGACUUCAAAGAGCUUUCCAAUCAAUUGGCUUCUUGCCAGACUUCUUGAGCAACUCGUUGGUCUUGGAGAAAUGCUUGCAUCCGAAGAACCCUCGAUAGGCCGAGAGCGGAGAGGGGUGGACAGUCUGCAGGAUGUGGUGGCGCUUCUAGAGAGAGGAAUUGGAACGUCAGAGUUUGGUGACUGUUCUGGGACUAGGAAAUGGGGCUCACCCUGGAAAUCUAGAGGCCUCUGGGUCAGCACUGACAGACUUGGAGCUCAGGGACCUUAAAGGCCAUCUGGGACCCCGGAGGUCCUGGGCAAUGAAGCCAAGUUGCCAACAAACUUGAGAUCCUGUUUCAUGCUCCAGUUUUCAAUCCUUGAAGGACUUUCCACUUGACAGAGUUGGACCCUGAGACUCCCAGGCUGGUGCCUGAAUUCACAGACUUGUACAGAACCUGCCCCUGUAGGAAAUGCUGAGAUCCCCAGGAUCUGGGGCUGAAGGGAAAGGACCAGCCUCUCCAAUCACAUCCUGUGAGCUGUGCAUUCGAGACCUCUUUCCUUCUGUGAGACCAGAAUGAGUCUCUCGGAUGGUGUCUAAAGGAAAAGGGAGGGCUACCUACCUGGCCUGGCCUUGGCUUCUCCCACUGGUACAUGGGGAGGAAGGGGGACAUGUUGGACAGACAGAGGAGUGACACAUACCCUGUCGAUGGAGAGGCCUUUCUUCUGUGCAUAGGAUCCCCAGAGCACGAAGACCAGGCCAUUCAAGUUCUGAUUUAACCAAGACACCACAGCAUCGGUGAACUGCUCCCACCCUCUCUCCCUGUGGGAAUUGGCCUGGUGGGCUCGGACCGUGAGCACAGCAUUGAGGAGGAGGACACCUACACACAAGCACCAAAGAAACCAAUCAAAAGCAGCCCCAGAAUCCCCACAGCAGGGAGUGAAAGGAGGAGGGAAGAAGGGAGAGAGAGAAGAGAGGAAGGAGGAGUGGGGAGAAACAGAGGCGAAUGGGAAGGCGAUGCGGGACGGGGAAGUGUUGAUCAAUCAGCGCUUGGUGAUCAUGGGAGGCUUGCUUUUCACUCAUUAAUCACAACAAAUACGAUCCAAUAGUUGGGUCCCACAUCAUGUAUAGAAACACGCGGAGGUCCCCAGAGAUCUCCUCCUGCGUUAGCCCAAGACCACAGAGAGGACAAAACGGAGACAAGGGCAGGCUCCGAUUCGGCAUUUGUGGCCUCCAGCUUUUUGAGGAUAUCGAGUGUAAGAGCAGCUUCAUCCCCCCAAUCUCGCCUCCUAGGCAUUAGCCCUUCGGCCAGCUGCUUACCCUGUUUGGCCCAUCCAGACAAAUCUCCAUGACCGGGAUGGGUAAAGCCAUCUAUAUCUGUCGACAACUCUUUAUAGAUAUUUUCCAAGCUGAAAACCAGACAAACAAAAUGCUUUACUUCGCAAAAAUCGGUGAAAUGUCAAACCCCACCAAGAAAUGAAUCCACAAGAGGCAAGGCCAGGAGCUCCUGCCAGCGGAGGCCCGGGGUCUCAAGGCUCCUUCUGGCUCAGUCUCUGACCCCCUCCCCAGGAGAUGAGGAAACACUGCAAUGGCAAUCUGGAUUUCAUCAUUCCGCCAAUGGCGCUCUUAUCUGCUGCAUGACAAAUAACACCCCCCUUAGAGGAGGGCUAGAAGAAUAGUGCCAGUUGGGAAAUAAGGGGAGCUGCCACAUUCCGGAAAGGGACCCGGGCCAGACCGGUCUAGAGGCCCCCCUCGGGACGCGAGGUACCCAGGGUUCAGAGCCGGCCUCUGGCUUGGGCUGAGACGUUCUGGGGGGGGGAUGAAGUCUGAUGGCUAUGAGGCCCCUUCUGGCUGAGCAGUCCCGUUCUGUGCCCCCCUCCCCCGCCCCUCUGACUGCGCAUUCAUUAGGAACUGACCCUCAGCUAGAUUGAUUCCCAGGCAGAAGAGUGCUCAGGGCUUGGCAACUGCCACAUUCGAACCCAGGAUCUAUCCUGUCUCUGAGGCUGCCUCCCUCCUGCUCCUCCCCAUUCCUUUUCCUGUCCCAUAGAAAUCUGGGCUUGCAGGUUUUCCUCUACAUUCACCCUCCCUCGGUCUCCGCCACUUCUGCUUCCUCUGCUAUGCCUCCAAGCCAGCUCUCCUUUCAGAGACCCAAACCCCCCAUCCACCUCCAGCAUCCCCACUUCUCCCCAGGCAAUGGGAUGGCCCCCCCCGCCCCCCCCGGCCUGGUCACCCACUCCGGAAGGACUCCCACAUCAAUACUCUUCUGUACUCUCCCGCCCUCCCCAGGGAAGGGCUGUCACCUCCACCCGUCCGGGGGCCUCUCUUUGGGCAACUGAUUCUCCUGGUGCCCCACUGGACAGCAGACACCAGAAGUCAUUUGGUGGAAUUUUAGAAACACAGCCCGCCUGGGCAGUGAGACUUUAAGUCCAAACACUAAAAAUUAUCUUUACAGUGUGGCCAUAAACCUUUACCGAGUUUGGCAUUUACAGUUUACACAGCCCAGCGGACAAGGUCCCGAGUUCAAAUCUGGCCUCGGUUAUCCUAUCUCUGUGACCCUAGGCAAGUCACUAAAGCCCGACCUCCUAGCCCUUACACUGCUCUUCUGCCUUCUAAGGCUCUAAGGUAUGGGUUUAAAGAAGAAAAAGGAAACACCCCAGGUGCCAGAAUGUGACCCCAAUGGGAAGGAAGGAAGGGGGGGUCUUUCCCAUAAUUUCUUUUCCUGUUUCAAUUUCCUUCUACAGCGAGGUUUCAUGACUGUUGGCUGGUAAUUUAUAGAAUCUAGAACUGGAAUCCUACCUUGGAGGGGGUGGAACAGGUCUCUGAACACUAAAGGAGAGUCCAUGAGCUUGGUUGGGUCCAUGGUAGGGGUCCUGGCCCAAGAUGACAACUUUUACCUGUGCGUGCCCAAGGGAGUCAGAAAUUAAUUCUUUUGAACAAAGAAGUAAUGCAUAGACUAGGAGACUUGGGGGAGCCAUUGCUGCUUCAGUGCAAAGUGCCCAGGAAAUGACUGACCCCGAAUCCCCGUCCUUUAUGCAGAUCUACCCCCCCCCCCCCAUUUGGGAGCUUCCAUCCAAACACGGUAGGAAUUGGGUCGAUUUGGGGAUGUCGAAGGGCUCUCGGUGAGACAGAGAAGGCAGUUUUCUGGAAUUCACAAGGGUGCUUUGGCUAAGGCCACCUCGCAUCACUUUUUGAGUUUGAUAGACCAGCGGCCCCUUCCUGAACAGCCCACACACAAAAGAGUGAGCAAACCACAAAAGGGCAGCCAAGGGGCCUGCUGUAGUGAGAGCACCGGACGCCGAGUCAAGAAGACCCAAGUUCAAAUCCAGCUUUACGUGUAAUCCUGGGCAAGUCACUUAACCCUGUUUGACAGAAAGGGUUAAAAAAGGAGGAAAUGAACUUCAAAAGGAAAAACUCAUCUGACCAUUACACCGUGGUUACAUUCAUCAGUUUUUUCCAUGAAAAACCUGUUUUUUUUCCUAAAGCAGAGCCAAGACUGAGGCAUCUCUAAAGAUCAUUUCGGCAACCACCAGUUAAUUCUUCCUUCUAAUGGAAGUUCUUAUAGCUCUACCCCAUUCAAGUAGAAGUCUUAGCAGUACUGAACCGACUAUUUGCCAUUAAAAAGAAACAAACCUUCAUCUUCUGCCUUAAAAUCAAUACUGUGCAUUGGUUCCAAUGCAGAAGAGCAACAAGGGCCGGACAAUGGAGGUUAAGUGACUUGGCCAGGGUCACCCAGCUAGACGUGUUUUUGAACUCAGCACCCCCAUCUCUGGGCCUGGCUCUCCAUCCACUGAGCCACCUCACUGCCCCCCCCCAUUAGUCUUUAAGCAACUUCUAAAAAUACCCCCCCCACAUGAAUGUUUGGGGCAUUCCAGUUGAAGUCAGACGUAUGACUCGAAAACUUGACCAAACCUCAGCCAAAUGUCCAGACUAAAAGGAGUUCAUGACUAAUCAGAACGGCCGGGGACAACUCUUCUGCAAUCAGUCUUUCGCUGCUUGAGUAAAGGCACAGGUGAGAAGCCCCUAGAACAGGCCCAAAGGGUCAGCUCGCGCUCGUGACACAACUCCAAUCUAGGAUCCCGGGGCUGGGACCUAGCAGAGCCACUUGGAACCGAUACUGACACAGAAAGCAAAGAUUUAGGAAAACAAAACACACACACAAGCCACGUAUUGGCUAAGAGACCAUCAAUGCCUUCCGGUUACCAGGGAGUAAACUGAUGCAAAAGUUCUAUCUUGCUCAACGAGGGCCAGCUCGACUAGCAUUUAUGAAAUGCUUUCAAUGUGCUCAUUGAUGGGGAUACACUAAAAUGAAGGAACAGUUCCUCCAGGCAUCAUAUCCCCAAAAUCUAGGCAAACUGGAAGCAGGGAAAUUCCUGUGCUUGUGACUCCUACCCCAAGAACAUCUGAUAACUUCUAUAAGACAAUGAGAUUAUUAUCAUCCUUGGAUCCUUCUUUAGAUUUGAGAUGGCCAGAGAGACGCACCUCCAGUCUACACCUCGAUACCAUCGGGCUGUAUCUCAGGCAUCCAUCUGUCCCCUAAACUAGGAGGGUCUUCAGGCGGAUCCUGGUCAGAAGACUAACCCCCCCCCCCCAUCAAAUGCCCAAGUGUUUACCGUUCUAGAGUCAUGUCCACACUAUGGCCCAACAUCACGUCCCCACUGGUGUAAAAAGUAUAUUAUCCCCAGAACUGGUGGAUUCUGGGAGCAGUCUUUCAUCUUGCUCUUCCACCCAUACCACCUCCAGGCCAGAUUCAACAGUACUUUCUAAAUGAAUAAAUUUCUCUUUUUAUUUUUAAGCUAAGUUUUAGAGUCUUGCAUUCUUACAAAAAAGCAUCCUUCCUGAACUCCAGGGGUUCACCUCCAGUACCCCACAACAGAGGGACUUGAAGCCAGGUCUUAAUCAAGCUCUAGACACUUAUGACAAGCUUCUUGGGAUUCAGUCUCUACACUGAACAGAUAACCAUCUGCUAUCUCUCAAGAGGGCUAAAGGAGCUCAAAUGAGAAAGUAUGGCAAAGACUAUUUUAACUUUUAUUCGCUGAAAAACCAGACUCUAAGUUUUAAGCAGUAGUCUUCCUGAGUUUUGUUUAUUUACUAUCAAUGUACUGUUUCUGUUUAAACUACGUCUAAUAAACUCAUUACUUCAA
Molecule: non-coding RNA, 8539 nt
Organism: Monodelphis domestica (gray short-tailed opossum)
Lineage: Eukaryota; Metazoa; Chordata; Mammalia; Didelphimorphia; Didelphidae
Source: RefSeq, a predicted model, not a curated record